Diospyros lotus (date-plum) is the source of this 2297-nucleotide RNA transcript. It is a transcript of the gene named F-box/kelch-repeat protein At1g55270-like, with no coding region annotated. NCBI's taxonomy places the organism in Eukaryota, Viridiplantae, Streptophyta, Magnoliopsida, Ericales, Ebenaceae. The record is from RefSeq and is a predicted model, not a curated record. The transcript is spliced from 4 exons.
GCUCUCUCUCUCUCUCUCUCUCUCUCUCUCUAAAUCUUUUAUCUUUUCUCUCUCUACCUUAGAGAGGGCAAAUGAACAAAGGGGGAGGGCCAAAGCCAUCUUCAAGUACCAAAUCAGCUUGCAAGCUUCGUUCUUUGAUUUCGACCAACCACCUAAUGUCCUCACUCCCUCUCUGUCUUCCAUUAAUGGUUUAGGUUUGCUUUUCUUUCUUGCAUCUCUCUCUCUCUCUCUCUCUCUUGUUUGCUCACCCUCUUGCGCUUGGUAGCUUGUGCUGCCUUUGGGAGGUUAUGGGCCCUAUUCUCCACUCAGCAUUUCAAUGGUGAUUUAGGCGGUCUCUUGUCUCCUCUUUCUUCGCUGCUUUUUGUUACUUAUUUUCUUCUUGUCUCGCAUUUGUGGUUGUGUUCUUCAAGGUUUGGGUUUCUGUUUCUGUUUCUGUUUCUUUCCCAAUCUGAGAAAUUGGUGUUCGGAGAGGGUUCUGUCUCAUCUUUUUUAUUUUGGACAUGGGUUUUGAGGAUUGAAGGACUUGUCAAACUUGGGUUUGUACUUUGAUCAGUCUCUGAAGUGGACCGUACUUGUGAUUCUUGAAUUAGGGUUUUUUGUUUUCUUAGUGCUUGAGAUGGGAUUUGGAUUGUCCUGAAAUGGUUGUUCCCAGUGGAGAAUCACGGUAUGCUCGUGAAGAAUCUGAACACAGAAUCCAUCUGAACGUGAUGGUGAUCAGAGUGCUGGGUAAUUGAACUUUGAGGUGGGUUUUGAAGUUGGUUGGAUUUUAAGAAAUGGAGAGGAUGAUUCAGCCGCCUCUGGUUGAUACCACCGCAUGUUUAUGUAGAGUAGAUGCGGGCCUCAAAACUGUUACUGGAGCGAAGAAAUAUGUUCCUGGCACGAGGCUAUGUCUUCAGCCUAGGAUCAAGCCAUCGAUUCAUCCAACUGGGCAAAAGCCAGCACGGGGUGACAGAAACCGGAACCAAUCCCCUCUGCUUCCAGGACUCCCUGAUGAUCUGGCUGUCGCUUGCUUAAUACGAGUCCCGAGAAUUGAGCAUUGCAAGCUCCGCUUAGUCUGCAAAAGAUGGUACCGUCUUUUGGUUGGUAAUUUCUUCUACUCACUCCGCAAGAGUCUUGGAAUAGCAGAAGAAUGGAUAUACGUUAUGAAGAGAGAGCGAGAUGGAAAAAUCUCAUGGCAUGCUUUUGAUCCCAUUUACCAGCUUUUGCAGCCUCUCCCUCCUGUCCCAAAAGAGUAUUCUGAAGCCCUAGGGUUUGGAUGUGCUGUUAUCAGUAGUUGUCACCUUUAUUUAUUCGGGGGCAAAGACCCUAUCAAGGGAUCCAUGAGACGAGUAAUUUUCUAUAGUGCACGAACUAAUAAAUGGCACCGUGCUCCAGACAUGCUUAGAAGGCGUCACUUCUUUGGUUUUUGUGUCAUAAACAACUGUUUGUAUGUUGCGGGCGGUGAGAAUGAGGGCAUCCAGCGGUCCUUGAGAUCAGCCGAAGUUUAUGAUCCAAACAAGAAUAGGUGGUCCUUCAUUUCUGAUAUGAGCACGGCAAUGGUGCCCUUCACUGGGGUCGUGUACGAGGGCAAGUGGUUCUUGAAGGGCACAGGGUCUCGCAGGCAGGUCUUGAGCGAGGUCUACCAACCUGAAACUGAUAGUUGGUGCCCUGUUUACGAUGGAAUGGUUGCUGGCUGGAGAAACCCAAGCACUUCCCUGAACGGGCAUCUCUAUGCUUUGGACUGUAAAGAUGGAUGCAAACUAAGAGUUUAUGAUGAAAAGACUGACUCUUGGAGCAAGCAUAUCGACAGUAAGAUGCAUUUGGGGAACUCUAAGGCUUUGGAAGCAGCAGCACUUGUCCCGCUCAAUGGAAAACUCUGUAUUAUCCGCAACAAUAUGAGCAUAUCUCUAGUCGAUGUAUCUAAAUCUCAAUCUGAGGAUCCAAGGAGUGGCAUUGCUGAACAUCUGUGGGAAACCAUCUCUGGGAAGGGGCAGUUCAAGACCCUGGUCACCAACUUCUUGUCGAGCCUUGCUGGUAGGAACCGCCCCAGAAGUCACAUUAUACACUGUCAGGUUCUUCUAGCUUGAAAGACAAUGGCAUAGAUAAAAAAAGGCCAACAGACGGUCAGAAACCUGCCCAGGCGACUGGAUCGCUGGGAUGAACAACUCAAGGUCGAAAAGCAUAUUGUCUGAACCAACAAAGCUCUUGUGGAUGCCUUCCUAUUCCUGCAUUUUGUGUUCCAUUGAAACAUCUUGAUAAUCAGGUUCAUUGCUUGAGGACCUUAACUUGGGGCUGUUUAAGGCAAAUUUGGCAGAAGG